GGACGAACGCUGGCGGCGUGCCUAAUACAUGCAAGUCGAACGGUCUUUCUAUGGAAGCUUGCUUCCACUGAGGAGAUAGUGGCGAACGGGUGAGUAACACGUGGGUAACCUGCCCAUAAGAGGGGGGAUAACAUCCGGAAACGGGUGCUAAUACCGCAUAGUUUUCUUGAUCGCAUGAUCGGGAAAGGAAAGACGGCCUUUGUGCUGUCGCUUAUGGAUGGACCCGCGGCGUAUUAGUUAGUUGGUGAGGUAACGGCUCACCAAGACGAUGAUACGUAGCCGACCUGAGAGGGUGAUCGGCCACAUUGGGACUGAGACACGGCCCAAACUCCUACGGGAGGCAGCAGUAGGGAAUCUUCCGCAAUGGACGAAAGUCUGACGGAGCAACGCCGCGUGAGUGAAAGAAGGUUUUCGGAUCGUAAAACUCUGUUGUCAGAGAAGAACAAGUUGGAGAGUAACUGCUCCAGCCUUGACGGUAUCUGACCAGAAAGCCACGGCUAACUACGUGCCAGCCGCCGC
This 519-nucleotide ribosomal RNA is filed under the name uncultured bacterium. Its description in RNAcentral is "bacterial SSU rRNA". It matches the Rfam family "Bacterial small subunit ribosomal RNA", at positions 27 to 518 of the family's 1533-position model. The record is from RNAcentral.